This 443-nucleotide ribosomal RNA is filed under the name uncultured bacterium. Its description in RNAcentral is "partial 16S ribosomal RNA". It matches the Rfam family "Bacterial small subunit ribosomal RNA", at positions 338 to 795 of the family's 1533-position model. The record is from RNAcentral.
CCUACGGGAGGUAGCAGUGGGGGAUAUUGGACAAUGGGGGGAACCCUGAUCCAGCGACGCCGCGUGAGUGAAGAAGUAUUUCGGUAUGUAAAGCUCUGUCAGCAGGGAAGAAAGCAAUGACGGUACCUGACCAAGAAGCCCCGGCUAACUACGUGCAAGCAGCCGCGGUACUACGUAGGGGGCAAGCGUUAUCCGGAUUUACUGGGUGUAAGGGGAGCGUAGACGGCUGUGCAAGUCUGGGGUGAAAGGCGGGGGCCCAACCCCCGGACUGCUCUGGAGACUGGAUGGCUGGAGUGCAGGAGAGGUAAGCGGAAGUCAUGGUGUAGCGGUGAAAUGCGUAGAUAUUAGGAAGAACACCAGUGGCGAAGGCGGCUUACUGGACUGUAACUGACGUUGAGGCUCGAAAGCGUGGGGAGCAAACAGGAUUAGAUACCCCAGUAGUC